AGUUCACAUUUAUGAUCAAGGUCUUGUGUUGAAAAUGUUGUCCGACCCUGAGAUUGUGAAAGCUGUCCAUCUGUAUGUGUCUAAGGAGAAGGUUGACGAUCAUAUUGCUCCGCCUAGUAAGCAAAUUCAUAUUGGUCCAUCUAACCAUCCGAAUGAGAGUGUUCUCUUACAACACGGUGGUGUCUCUGCUGAAGGGGCAGGGCAACUUACUAUGGGAAUGCCGCAAAGACCAUGAUGUCAACCAAUUACAAAUUCAACAGAAUUCAUCAUCAUCACAAGACCAUGUUAUUGAUUCUGUGCCAGAGGUGAGGGAAACCAGGGAUCUUACAGGUGAAUCUGUUUCAAGAACGAACCAGCAGGGGACUAGAACUGAACACCCACACCCAGCUCGCUCAAAAAGAAAGCGUACUUCUUCCAUCAAGAUCAACCUAUUCUUGAUAAUGAGGAGCUGGUAAGGGAAGUUUCUAAUUGCAAGACAAUUGGUGAGGCUUUCAAUUCAGGAUACUUAAUUGCCUGGCCUUCAGCUUUUAUUCGAGAGAAGGAUAGUUGAAUUGCAGCUGAAUUCUUGGAUCAAGAAGCAAAUAAAAUUGGAAGAUUUUAGCUACCAAUAGUUGUAGUUUACAUUGAUAGAUUUAUAAAUGUAAUAUCAUCAACAUGAUAUUUUUCUUCAU
Molecule: long non-coding RNA, 671 nt
Organism: Triticum dicoccoides
Lineage: Eukaryota; Viridiplantae; Streptophyta; Magnoliopsida; Poales; Poaceae
Exons: 5
Source: RefSeq, a predicted model, not a curated record